CCCGUGAUAGCUCAGUUGGUAGAGCGGAGCACUGUAGAUCCUUAGGUCGCUGGUUCAAAUCCGGCUCAUUGGGA
Molecule: transfer RNA, 74 nt
Filed under: Haliotis rubra (blacklip abalone)
Lineage: Eukaryota; Metazoa; Mollusca; Gastropoda; Lepetellida; Haliotidae
Description: tRNA-Tyr
Rfam family: tRNA
About the family: Transfer RNA (tRNA) molecules are approximately 80 nucleotides in length. Their secondary structure includes four short double-helical elements and three loops (D, anti-codon, and T loops). Further hydrogen bonds mediate the characteristic L-shaped molecular structure. tRNAs have two regions of fundamental functional importance: the anti-codon, which is responsible for specific mRNA codon recognition, and the 3' end, to which the tRNAs corresponding amino acid is attached (by aminoacyl-tRNA synthetases). tRNAs cope with the degeneracy of the genetic code in two manners: having more than one tRNA (with a specific anti-codon) for a particular amino acid; and 'wobble' base-pairing, i.e. permitting non-standard base-pairing at the 3rd anti-codon position.
Source: RNAcentral